RNAcentral lists this ribosomal RNA (467 nucleotides) under uncultured bacterium. Its description in RNAcentral is "partial 16S ribosomal RNA". It matches the Rfam family "Bacterial small subunit ribosomal RNA", at positions 28 to 506 of the family's 1533-position model. The record is from RNAcentral.
GACGAACGCUGGCGGCGUGCUUAACACAUGCAAGUCGAACGGAAAGGCCCUGCUUUUGUGGGGUGCUCGAGUGGCGAACGGGUGAGUAACACGUGAGUAACCUGCCCUUGACUUUGGGAUAACUUCAGGAAACUGGGGCUAAUACCGGAUAGGAGCUCCUGCUGCAUGGUGGGGGUUGGAAAGUUUCGGCGGUUGGGGAUGGACUCGCGGCUUAUCAGCUUGUUGGUGGGGUAGUGGCUUACCAAGGCUUUGACGGGUAGCCGGCCUGAGAGGGUGACCGGCCACAUUGGGACUGAGAUACGGCCCAGACUCCUACGGGAGGCAGCAGUGGGGAAUAUUGCACAAUGGGCGGAAGCCGGAUGCAGCAACGCCGGGUGCGGGAGGACGGCCUUCGGGUUGUAAACCGCUUUCGCCUGUGACGAAGCGUGAGUGACGGGAAUGGGGAAAGAAGCACCGGAGAACUACGU